UACUGACCUACAGUAGCUUUCUUCUUCAGCAUUUUUAGCUCACCAUGAUGUCAGUGGCAUAAGGAACAUGUCACACGACAGAUGCAGCCAAUUAGGCUUCAUUAUAUACUUCAUACUGCAUUGCUGCCUUCUUCUAGAAUCGUCCCUUCAAUGCUUUUAUUCCAGAACCAGAGCUUCCCAAUUAGGAAUACCUUGUUGUUGACUAUAAGGGAUUGCUGCAGUAACACAUGUGGCCACAGUAUAGUGCUGUUAUCACAUGCACGUGGUUUAAGUGGGAACCUUGACCUUAACCCCAGCCAUGACUCAUCUUGAACAUUAUUUUGCUGUUAUACAUACUGAGGACCAGUGAUGGGAAUAACGGCGUUGCUUUUUUCAGUAACAGAUAAUCGAAUGAAUUACUUUAUCUAUUGUGAUAAAGUCGUUACAGUCACCAAUACGCUAUUACUUUGCGUUAUUGAAGCUACUUAUUGAAGCUGUCAUCCCACUUGG
Cynoglossus semilaevis (tongue sole) is the source of this 489-nucleotide long non-coding RNA. RefSeq lists it as uncharacterized. The record is from RefSeq and is a predicted model, not a curated record. NCBI's taxonomy places the organism in Eukaryota, Metazoa, Chordata, Actinopteri, Pleuronectiformes, Cynoglossidae. The transcript is spliced from 2 exons.